GCGGCUAUGGCGAAAUGGCUAACGCAUCGGAUUGUGGCUCCGACAUCGUGGGUUCGAUCCCCACUAGUCGCCCCA
Molecule: transfer RNA, 75 nt
Filed under: Lederbergia lenta
Lineage: Bacteria; Bacillati; Bacillota; Bacilli; Caryophanales; Bacillaceae
Also listed under: 1 other name
Description: Bacillus lentus tRNA-His(gtg)
Rfam family: tRNA
About the family: Transfer RNA (tRNA) molecules are approximately 80 nucleotides in length. Their secondary structure includes four short double-helical elements and three loops (D, anti-codon, and T loops).
Source: RNAcentral